Molecule: transfer RNA, 72 nt
Filed under: Bos taurus (domestic cattle)
Lineage: Eukaryota; Metazoa; Chordata; Mammalia; Artiodactyla; Bovidae
Also listed under: 5 other names
Rfam family: tRNA
About the family: Transfer RNA (tRNA) molecules are approximately 80 nucleotides in length.
Source: Rfam by way of RNAcentral
UCCCUGAUAGCUCAGUUGGUAAAGAAUCUGCCUGCAACGCAGGAGACCUGGGUUCGAUCCCUGGGUUGGGAA